CGUGGUUAACCUGCCCUUGGGACGGAAACACCCCCGGGAAACUGGGGCUAAUUUCCGAUAGGUGAAGGCUCCUGGAAUGGAUCUUCGCCUAAAGGGCGCUUAGGCCAUGCUUCUAAGCGCUGCCCAAGGAUGGGACCGCGGCCGAUCAGGUUGUUGGUGAGGUAAUGGCUCACCAAGCCUUUAACCGGUUCGGGCCGUGGGAGCGGGAGCCCGGAGAUGGGCACUGAGACAAGGGCCCGGGUCCUACGGGGCGCAGCAGUCGCGAAAACUCCGCAAUACGCGAAGGCGUGACGGGGCUAUCCCGAGUGCCGUCCGCUGAGGAUGGCUUUUCUCCAGUGUAGAUAGCUGGGGGAAUAAGGAGAGGGCAAGUCUGGUGUCAGCCGCCGCGGUAAUACCAGCUCUCCGGGUGGUGGGGACGUUUAUUGGGCCUAAAGCAUCCGUAGCCAGCUGAGCAAGUCCCCAGUUAAAUCCAGCGAUUUAAUCGUUGGACUGCUGGGGAUACUGUCCGGCUAGGGGGUGGGAGAGGCCGAUGGUAUUCUCGGGGUAGGGGUGAAAUCCUAUAAUCCCGGGAGGACCACCAGUGGCGAAGGCUGUUGGCUAAAACAUGCCCGACGGUGAGGGAUGAAAGCUGGGGGAGCGAACCGGAUUAGAUACCCGGGUAGUCCCAGCUGU
This 672-nucleotide ribosomal RNA is filed under the name uncultured archaeon. RNAcentral's name for it is "bacterial SSU rRNA". It matches the Rfam family "Archaeal small subunit ribosomal RNA", at positions 99 to 754 of the family's 1478-position model. The record is from RNAcentral.